GACGAACGCUGGCGGCGUGCCUAAUACAUGCAAGUAGAACGCUGAAGAGAGGAGCUUGCUCUUCUUGGAUGAGUUGCGAACGGGUGAGUAACGCGUAGGUAACCUGCCUUGUAGCGGGGGAUAACUAUUGGAAACGAUAGCUAAUACCGCAUAACAAUGGAUGACACAUGUCAUUUAUUUGAAAGGGGCAAUUGCUCCACUACAAGAUGGACCUGCGUUGUAUUAGCUAGUAGGUGAGGUAAUGGCUCACCUAGGCGACGAUACAUAGCCGACCUGAGAGGGUGAUCGGCCACACUGGGACUGAGACACGGCCCAGACUCCUACGGGAGGCAGCAGUAGGGAAUCUUCGGCAAUGGGGGCAACCCUGACCGAGCAACGCCGCGUGAGUGAAGAAGGUUUUCGGAUCGUAAAGCUCUGUUGUAAGUCAAGAACGGGUGUGAGAGUGGAAAGUUCACACUGUGACGGUAGCUUACCAGAAAGGGACGGCUAACUACGUGCCAGCAGCCGCGGUAAUACGUAGGUCCCGAGCGUUGUCCGGAUUUAUUGGGCGUAAAGCGAGCGCAGGCGGUUUGAUAAGUCUGAAGUUAAAGGCUGUGGCUCAACCAUAGUUCGCUUUGGAAACUGUCAAACUUGAGUGCAGAAGGGGAGAGUGGAAUUCCAUGUGUAGCGGUGAAAUGCGUAGAUAUAUGGAGGAACACCGGUGGCGAAAGCGGCUCUCUGGUCUGUAACUGACGCUGAGGCUCGAAAGCGUGGGGAGCGAACAGGAUUAGAUACCCUGGUAGUCCACGCCGUAAACGAUGAGUGCUAGGUGUUGGAUCCUUUCCGGGAUUCAGUGCCGCAGCUAACGCAUUAAGCACUCCGCCUGGGGAGUACGACCGCAAGGUUGAAACUCAAAGGAAUUGACGGGGGCCCGCACAAGCGGUGGAGCAUGUGGUUUAAUUCGAAGCAACGCGAAGAACCUUACCAGGUCUUGACAUCCCGAUGCUAUUUCUAGAGAUAGAAAGUUACUUCGGUACAUCGGUGACAGGUGGUGCAUGGUUGUCGUCAGCUCGUGUCGUGAGAUGUUGGGUUAAGUCCCGCAACGAGCGCAACCCCUAUUGUUAGUUGCCAUCAUUCAGUUGGGCACUCUAGCGAGACUGCCGGUAAUAAACCGGAGGAAGGUGGGGAUGACGUCAAAUCAUCAUGCCCCUUAUGACCUGGGCUACACACGUGCUACAAUGGUUGGUACAACGAGUUGCGAGUCGGUGACGGCGAGCUAAUCUCUUAAAGCCAAUCUCAGUUCGGAUUGUAGGCUGCAACUCGCCUACAUGAAGUCGGAAUCGCUAGUAAUCGCGGAUCAGCACGCCGCGGUGAAUACGUUCCCGGGCCUUGUACACACCGCCCGUCACACCACGAGAGUUUGUAACACCCGAAGUCGGUGAGGUAACCUUUUGGAGCCAGCCGCCUAAGGUGGGACAGAUGAUUGGGGUGAAGUCGUAACAAGGUAGCCGUAUCGGAAGG
This 1500-nucleotide ribosomal RNA is filed under the name uncultured bacterium. Its description in RNAcentral is "bacterial SSU rRNA". It matches the Rfam family "Bacterial small subunit ribosomal RNA". The record is from RNAcentral.